UAGGGAAUCUUCGGCAAUGGGGGGAACCCUGACCGAGCAACGCCGCGUGAGUGAAGAAGGUUUUCGGAUCGUAAAGCUCUGUUGUUAAGGAAGAACGAGUGUGAGAAUGGAAAGUUCAUACUGUGACGGUACUUAACCAGAAAGGGACGGCUAACUACGUGCCAGCAGCCGCGGUAAUACGUAGGUGGCAAGCGUUGUCCGGAUUUAUUGGGCGUAAAGCGAGCGCAGGCGGUCAAUUAAGUCUGAUGUGAAAGCCCCCGGCUCAACCGGGGAGGGUCAUUGGAAACUGGUUGACUUGAGUGCAGAAGAGGAGAGUGGAAUUCCAUGUGUAGCGGUGAAAUGCGUAGAUAUAUGGGGGAACACCAGUGGCGAAGGCGACUCUCUGGUCUGUAACUGACGAUGAGGUUCGAAAGCGUGGGUAGCAAACAGG
This 430-nucleotide ribosomal RNA is filed under the name Bacteroidota bacterium. RNAcentral describes it as "Bacteroidetes bacterium partial 16S ribosomal RNA". It matches the Rfam family "Bacterial small subunit ribosomal RNA", at positions 355 to 776 of the family's 1533-position model. Lineage: Bacteria; Pseudomonadati; Bacteroidota. The record is from RNAcentral.